GAGUUGAGGAGGGUUGAGGAUGAGAUGAACCUGUUAAAAGAGAUGAGCCGGUUAAAAAAUGAGUUGAGGAGGGUAGAUGAUGAUGGGAUGUGGCAGUUAAAAG
Silurus meridionalis is the source of this 103-nucleotide long non-coding RNA. RefSeq lists it as uncharacterized. NCBI's taxonomy places the organism in Eukaryota, Metazoa, Chordata, Actinopteri, Siluriformes, Siluridae. The transcript has 5 exons. The record is from RefSeq and is a predicted model, not a curated record.